ACUAAUUUUUCUAAAACAAUUUCAGCUUUCGUUUGAGCGCAACUUACAAAUUUCAACUUGUAAUAUGAGCGCUAUUUAGUGCAGUCAUGAUAUUCGUUAAAAGUAUAGAAUGCAUUAGAGUGGUGUCAAUGGCACUAAACCUUUCUCUGGUAAAUCAGUUGUGACAUGGACAUGUCGCAUGCUAUCAUCACCGCAUCACUAGUAAUACACCCCUGUGUUGGUAACUAUAAAGAAAUAAAUAGAUGUGGGAGAAAUGCCAGAAAUGUAGUGCCAAGUAGGGUAAAAAAGGAAAUCCUUCAAGUUAAUCUAGGCUGAGAAAACCUUGUUAGGCAGGAAAGAAGAAACAAACAAACAAAAAAAUAAAGCAAAUCUUUCAACAUGUCUACAGCUUUACUAAACAUACAAGAUACUAAUAAAAGUACAUAUGAAAAAAAAGAAAAAACACAUUAAAUAAAUGCCUCUGCUAGAAGAGAAUACUAAGCUAAUAAUCAUAUAAUUAGUAUUUAAAAAUUUCUGAAGUAAUGAAGUAGAAUAUUAUUGAAUAAGACAACGUCAUAUAUAUUCAUCUGGUGCACAUUCCUGACCUAUGAAGUACAUCUAUCUUUAAUUUAGCUAUCAUGGUUUAAUGGAGAAAAAAGGUUGUGAAAAGUGUGGGUCCAAGUGCCACUAUAUCGCCUAGAUUACGAGUUUUGAGCGUUAUAGGGAAAUUAACGAACGCAACAAAAGUGGCGUUAUUUAAUCCCCUAUAGCGCUGCCAUUACAAGUUUUAAAAAACCUGGCUUGUGCAUGUGAUAUGGUGCUUUUAAGCUCCAUACCGCACACAAUACAAGUGCUGUUUUGACGUGCUCGUGCACGCUUUCCUCAUAGACAUCAAUGGGGAGAGCGGGUCAGAAAAAAGUCUAACACCUGCGAUCGCGGAAAGAAAAGCUCCGUAAGGCAGCCCCAUUGAUGUCUAUGAGGGAAAAAAAAACUAACGUUUAAACCUAACACCCUAACAUAAACCCAAUGUCCGAAUACCUGCCUACAGUUAUUACCCCUAAUCUGCCGCUCCCAAUAUCGCCGCCACCUAAAUAAAGGUAUUAACCCCUAAUCUGCCGCUCCCGAUAUUGCCGCCACUAUACUAAAGUUAUUAACCACUAUUCCGCCGCACCCCAACAUCGCUGCCACUAUAUUAAAGUUAUUAACCCCUAUUCCACCACUCCCUGACAUCGCCGCAGCUAAUUAAAGGUAUUAACCCCUAAACCUCUGGCCUCUCACAUCACUACCACUAAAUAAACCUAUUAACUCCUAAACCGCAGCCCCCCAAAUCGCAACAACCUAAAUUAAACUAUUAACCCCUACACCUACCCCUAAACCUAACCCUAACGUAACCCUAACCCUACCAUAAUUAAAAUAGAUCUAAAUUAAAUUUACAAUGAUUAACUAAAUAAUAAGUAUUUAAAACUAAAUACAUACUUACCUGUAAAAUAAAACCUAAGCUAGCUACAAUAUAACUAAUAGUUUUCUUUGUUUUUUUUUUAUUUCACUGGUAAGUUUGUAUUUAUUUUAACUAGGUAGACUAGUUAGUAAAAUAGUUAUUAACUAUUUAAUGAAUACCUAGUUAAAACAAAUACAAAAUUACCUGUGAAAUAAAACCUAAGCUACCUUACUCUAAAACCUAAAAUUACAAAAAAUAAAAAACCUACCAGUAAAAAAAAAAAAAAACCUACCAUUACAAAAACAAACAAACCAAAAUUAUCCAAAAAAAUAAAAAUUAUUCCUAUUCUAAUACCCUUUAAAAAAACAAAACACCCCAAAAUAAAAAAACUACCAAGGGUCCUUAAAAGAGCCUUUUGGGGGCCCUUAAAAUGGCCUUUUGUAGGGCAUUGCCCUAAGUUGAAAAGCUCUUUUGCUUCAAAAAACAAACAAACACCCCCUAACAGUAUACAAACCCCCACCCCCAAACUACCAAAGGCCCUUAAAAUGGCCUUUUCUAGGGCAUUGCCCUAAGUUAAACAGCUCUUUUGCUGCUACAAAAAAAACAAACACCCCCUAAAAAAAUAUGUUACACAAAUUAACAAACAAAUUAUCAAAAAUAAUAAAAAUUAUUCCUAUUCUAAUACCAUUAAAAAAAAUCUAGAAUAAACUACCAAUGGCCCUUAAAAGGGCGUUUUGUAGGGCAUUGCCCUAAAGAUAUCAGCUCUUUUUGUGAAAAACAUUACAAACCCCCACCCCCACAAACGCACAAAAUAAAAACAACUAUCUAAAAAACCUAAGCUACCCAUUGCCCUGAAAAGGGCAUUUGGAUGGACACUGUCCUUAAAAGGGCAUUUAGCUCUUUUGCUGCCCAAACCCUAAUCUAAAAAUAAAACCCACCCAAAAAACCCUUAAAAAAAACCUAACACUAACCCCCGACGAUCCACUUACAGUACGGCGGUGACCGUAUGAAGAGGAUGCUCCACGCCGGAUGUCUUCAGGAUGGACCCGCUCCGCGCCGCCGGGAUCAAGAUAGAAGAUGCCGCCUGGCUGAAGAUUGAAGAGGCCGUCUGGAUGAAGACUUCUCGCCGCUUGUAUGAGAACUUUGCUGCCGGGAUGAAGAUUGAAGAGGCCACCUGGAUGAAGACUUCUCGCUGCCUGGAUGAAGAUCGUUCAAGCGGGACUUCAAAAACUGUAAGUGGAUCUUCAGGGGGUUAGUGUUAGUUUUUUUUUAAGGGUUUUUUGGGUGGGUUUUAUUUUUAGUUUAUGGUUUGCGCAUGUAAAAGAGCUAAAUGCCCUUUUAAGGGCAAUGCCCAUACAAAUGCCCUUUUCAGGGCAAUGGGUAGCUUAGGCUUUUUUUAUUUUGGGGGGUUGGUUGGGUGGUGGGUUUUACUGUUGGGGGGUUCUUUGCAUUUUUUUCAAUGCCCCACAAAAGGCCCUUAUAAGGGCUGUUGGUAGUUUAUUGUAGGCUAGAGUUUUUUUUUAAUUUUGGGUGGGCUUUUUAUUUUGAUAGGGCUAUUAGAUUAGGUGUAAUUCUUUUUUAUUUUUGAUAAUAAGUUUUCGUAAUUUAGUGUUUGUUAAUUUUUGUAGUUUAGUCUUUUUUAUUUUUUGCAAUUACAUACUUUGUAAUUUUUAGAUAAGUGUUAGGAUUUUUUUAAUGUGUAGUUUAGUUUUAUUUAAUUAGUAGUUAGUUUAAUUUUAGUUUAAACUUAGUUUUUUUAAUUUGACAGGUAAGUUUUAAUUUAAUUUAAGAUAGGGAAAUUGUUAUUUUGAUAUAAAGUUAGGGGGGGGCGUUAGUUUUAGGGGUUACUAGUUUAAUUUAGUUUAUUGUGAUGUGGGGCUUUCGGUUUAGGGGUUAAAAGGUUUAUUAUAGUGGUGGCGGUGUAGGGCUUAAUAACUUUAGUAUAGUGGGGGCGAUGUGGGCGGAUGGCAGAUUAUGGGUUAAUUAUACUUAAAUAGUGUCUGCGAAUUGGGAGGGCGGCAGUUUAGGGUUUAAUACGUUUAUUAUAGUGGUGACGAUGCGGGAGGGCCUCGGUUUAGGGGUUAAGAGGUAGUUUAUGGGUGCUUAGUGUACUUUGUAGCAGUUUAGUUAUGAGUUUUAUGUUACAGAUUUGUAGCGUAACACUCAUAACUACUGACUUUAGAUAGCGUUAUGGAUCUUGCCGUUUUAGGCUGUAACACCGUUUUUUUAGCCAGAACGCAAAACUCGUAAUACCAGCGCUAUGGGAAUCCCAUGAAAAAACGUCAUUUUAAAGAGUGCGGUUCUGAUGUUGUGUUACAGGCUAAAAGGCUUGCGGUACACCUAUACCGACAAGACUCGUAAUGUCUGUGUCAUAACGCUCAACUCGUAAUCUAGCUGAAUGUUUUCAAAAUCAGUAUUGAGGCCAAUAAAAAAUAAGAUUUGCAAUUUUAUAGAAUGAAAUAUAAUCUACCAUAACAUUUCCUUAGCAGAGCCUACUUUUUUAGUGUAACUCAAAAACAAUAAAAUAACUAGAUCAGAAGAUAGACAUUGCUUAGAAAAAAAGGAAUUGUAAUGUAAUAAGGGCAUAAAUCUGCAAGAACUCCGAUAUUGUCCAGAAGAGAUAUUAUGGCAUUAUACUGUAAGAACUCAGCUGUGUAUUCAGGAAGGGGUUAAAUCCUCAUUUAAUACUGGGUCACUGUGGAAUGUAGAAAGAUCACAUUACCAGACCCCCAUCUGAGAAGGAUGACCAGCUGGCUUAAGUAAAGAGCCGUUUGUGUAGCCAAAUGCUCCUUUUCCUCACCUAACUGUAUGGCAGGGAUGAAACCAUAUACUCUUAACAUUUCAUAAGGGGGCUUGCUUAUGAGUGACAUCAUCAUUGUGGGAGGGAUGAAAAAGGCUUACAAUAAAAGAACCAGGAUUACUGGGGCUCAUUCUCUUUCUUACCUUUGGGAUGCUCUGAGAACAUCAAGUAAGUGAUCCUUGCAGACACAUAAUUACAGCACACCAUACUUUCACAUAGAUUGGGCAAAUGUAUUAGUGUAAUAUUGAUGUAUAGUUCACUGCUGAGUAUUUAUAAGUGAUUUGCAUAUGUGUAAUUUAUAUUUAAUCUGCAUAUUGUAACUAUUUAUGUAGCCUCAUUGUAAUAAAAGUUUUGUACUGCUGGAAUAAGACUGUGUGAGUGAUAUUCUUGCAGGUAGUUUAAUUAAGCUAGUGAUUGUGUGUUAAUAUGUAUUAGCCUUUCACUAAAGAGUAUAGCAAUCAGACACUAAGAUUUAUAGAGUCUUAGGUACCAUUUUAAUGCAGUUAUUUAAUUGGCGAGCCGAACCAGCGAUAAUUUUCUUAACAACUACACUUGUUUAAAGGGACAGUAUACUGUAAAAUAGUUUUUCCCUUAAUGUGUUUACAAUUGCUUUUUUUACCAACUGCAGAGUAAAAAAAAUAUGAAAAUUAGCUUUUUAAGGUUUAUUUCUGUAUAUUAAAGCUCUGAUUUUGUGUUUUGAAGCCACAGCCUAAUAAAAUAGGUUGAGCUUGUAGGUAUAAUCAGAUCUCAUUACUGUAUCACAUUGUGCACAUAUACCUGCUUCUUUAUCUUAUAUCUGUCCUUAAAACAAUCACCAAUACUUUGAGAGAACAAUGGAAAAUCAACAUUUUAUUACCUUAUCUCUGCUUUAUCACACUGCGAGUGUAAUUUCUUCUGCUGGCUGUGUUUACAAAGCUUAUCUAUAGCUGGUACGCGCGGCCACAAACUUUCAGAAUAGGUGGGGAUACCACAUGCUAAAUUAACAAUUUCAAAUGCCAAUAUAAGGGUAAAGGAGCUACUUGUAAACAAUUUAAUACACUCCAGCAGGUAAAGUGGAUCAUUGGGAACAAAUUAAAAGGGAGAAAAUUUUUGAGUAAACUGUCCCUUUAAAGGGGGGACAAAUCCAUGUUCUUUUUAUAAUACAAGUGUGAUUUUUGGACAAAAAUUUAACCUAGUUUUUGCUAUACUGUUUUUGAGUUGAGCGUUUCAGCAGUAAAGUCUUUGACCAAGACUACAGAUCCAGAGAGGCAUUACCUAAGGAUCAGUUGAACCAGACGCAGACAAAAUCAUAUCGUGCAGGACGUGAAUCUGAUUUGCUGGCAGUCUGAAGACAUUUUAAAGUAUUUCAUUAUGUGGAGCCUGAGAGGAAUGAUCGCCACAAACCUAUUUGUAUUUGUGUGGGUGUUAUUGCACAAACUUCCAAUCUGUGACUGUAAUGAACUUUCAAUCACCAACCUCACAAGUAGUCUUAGAUGGAGCUCAAGCAGCAUCAUCAGAGGAUGGACAGGCUUCUGGAGCUCUCAAGACCUUAGCAAAGAUUGUUUGGGAAAAUUGACUUUUAAUGUGGGUGGGAAGAUUGAAAUAUUUGCAGAAAAACAUCAAGACAAUUUAAUUGGUUUUUGGAGGGUCAAUCAGGGUAAUAAAGUUGAAUGGGAAUGUAAAUGGGUGGCUUGGAGAAAAUGGACUGUAGGUCUGGUGGGAGAAGGUAUUUCUGUGUCUACAACAUUUACAAAUCCUAUUCACACUAUAAAUGGCGACAACUAUAAUAUAACCAAGGUUAUAUUUGAACAACAAAUUGGAGAAGGGAUUAAUUGGAGGGUUACAGCUGCCAACUUUGGUGGAGGGAUUGAAGUAUACUUAAACAUAGAUCAAAAAAAGGAAACAACUACUUUUGCACCUUUGAUCUAUUCUACUUUAAUUACUACACCAAAGAGGAAACAUUAUGACAAUACUCCAAUGUGUGAGGGGAAAAGUGUUGUUUCUAGCGGUCCAUUUCAAACAAGUACAAUCAAGCCAACUCCAGUAUUGAGGGAUGCCACAUUCGAAUGUAUCACAUGGAAGAUUAAAAUAAUAGAUUGGCUAGUUUCCACACAUUACCAAAAUUGUUCCAGAAUUACUGCCACUAUGGAAAAAGCAUUAGUUAAGUGGGCAGAAGGUACUAGGAGAAGGACAGUUACUCACAUAUAAUACUACCUUGGGGGCUCCACUCAUAACCCCAAUAUUAGUAGAUGAUGCACCUUGGAAAAAAUGGGUAACCUUAUUGCAAAAAGACUCUGUGUUACUAGAACAUCUUAAAAAUUUUGGGGAACGUGUUCAUGUAAAUUUCUACCAUCAGGAACAAGAACUACAAAGGAUUGAACAUACUUUUACAGAGAUGUCAAGUGCUACCUGGUGGCAGAAAUUAGCAAAUUCCUUUUUGAAACAGUCAUCAUGGGGUUCUCCAUUGGGAAAUCUGUUCAUACAUCCAUUUAUAAUCAUAUUAUUUAUUUCUAUAUUAUGUAUAAUUAUUCAAAUUUGUAUGUGUUGUUAUUUAAAAUCAUUAAUUGCACGUGUAUAUCACUUAUAUUAUGGUAUGCGGAUGGAGGCAUCCUUAGUACACUAAUAUAGCCAUCACACAUAGGUGGGGUUAGGAAGGUUCUAACAGAUUCACUCAUAUAAAAUGACCAUUGGAAUGGAAGGGUGUGGUAACCUCCAUUGCCAAUAGGGGGGAAUGUAAUAAGGGCAUAAAUCUGCAAGAACUCAGAUAUUGUCCAGAAGGGAUAUUAUGGCAUUAUACUGUAAGAACUCAGCUGUGUAUUCAGGAAGGGGUUAAAUCCUCAUUUAAUACUGGGUCACUGUGGAAUGUAGAAAGAUCACAUUACCAGACCCCCAUCUGAGAAGGAUGACCAGCUGGCUUAAGUAAAGAGCCGUUUGUGUAGCCAAAUGCUCCUUUUCCUCCCCUAACUGUAUGGCAGGGAUGAAACCAUAUACUCUUAACAUUUCAUAAGGGGGCUUGCUUAUGAGUGACAUCAUCAUUGUGGGAGGGAUGAAAAAGGCUUACAAUAAAAGAACCAGGAUUA
Molecule: long non-coding RNA, 7276 nt
Organism: Bombina bombina (fire-bellied toad)
Lineage: Eukaryota; Metazoa; Chordata; Amphibia; Anura; Bombinatoridae
Exons: 2
Source: RefSeq, a predicted model, not a curated record